UAGGGAAUCUUCCGCAAUGGACGCAAGUCUGACGGAGCAACGCCGCGUGAGUGAAGAAGGAUUUCGGUUCGUAAAACUCUGUUGUUAGAGAAGAACAGCGCAUAGAGUAACUGUUAUGCGUGUGACGGUCUCUAACCAGAAAGCCACGGCUAACUACGUGCCAGCAGCCGCGGUAAUACGUAGGUGUCAAGCGUUGUCCGGAUUUAUUGGGCGUAAAGCGAGCGCAGGCGGUCAAUUAAGUCUGAUGUGAAAGCCCCCGGCUCAACCGGGGGGGGUCAUUGGAAACUGGUUGUAUUGAGUGCAGAAGAGAGGAGUGGAAUUCCAUGUGUAGCGGUGAAAUGCGUAGAUAAAUGGAGGAACACCAGUGGCGAAGGCGACUCUCUGGUCUGUAACUGACGCUGAGGCUCGAAAGCGUGGGUAGCAAACAGG
RNAcentral lists this ribosomal RNA (429 nucleotides) under Bacteroidota bacterium. RNAcentral's name for it is "Bacteroidetes bacterium partial 16S ribosomal RNA". It matches the Rfam family "Bacterial small subunit ribosomal RNA", at positions 355 to 776 of the family's 1533-position model. The record is from RNAcentral. Lineage: Bacteria; Pseudomonadati; Bacteroidota.